This 74-nucleotide transfer RNA is filed under the name Serpula lacrymans var. lacrymans S7.9. RNAcentral's name for it is "tRNA-Gln (CTG) (tRNA-Gln-CTG-2-1, tRNA-Gln-CTG-2-2)". It matches the Rfam family "tRNA". Rfam says of the family: Transfer RNA (tRNA) molecules are approximately 80 nucleotides in length. Their secondary structure includes four short double-helical elements and three loops (D, anti-codon, and T loops). Further hydrogen bonds mediate the characteristic L-shaped molecular structure. tRNAs have two regions of fundamental functional importance: the anti-codon, which is responsible for specific mRNA codon recognition, and the 3' end, to which the tRNAs corresponding amino acid is attached (by aminoacyl-tRNA synthetases). tRNAs cope with the degeneracy of the genetic code in two manners: having more than one tRNA (with a specific anti-codon) for a particular amino acid; and 'wobble' base-pairing, i.e. permitting non-standard base-pairing at the 3rd anti-codon position. RNAcentral also lists the same sequence under 1 other name. Lineage: Eukaryota; Fungi; Basidiomycota; Agaricomycetes; Boletales; Serpulaceae. The record is from RNAcentral.
GGAGCUAUAGUGUAGUGGUAUCAUCACCCGAGAUUCUGAUUCUCGUGACCCAGGUUCGAUCCCUGGUAGCUCCU